AUUGAACGCUGGCGGCAUGCCUAACACAUGCAAGUCGAACGGCAGCGCGGGUAGCUUGCUACCUGGCGGCGAGUGGCGGACGGGUGAGUAAUAUGUAGGAAUCUACCUAGAGGAGCGGGAUGACUUGGGGAAACUCAAGCUAAUACCACAUAAUCCCCACGGGGGAAAGCAGGGGACCUUCGGGCCUUGCGCCUUAUGAUGAGCCUACAUCGGAUUAGCUUGUUGGUGGGGUAAAGGCCUACCAAGGCGACGAUCCGUAGCUGGUCUGAGAGGAUGAUCAGCCACACUGGAACUGAGACACGGUCCAGACUCCUACGGGAGGCAGCAGUGGGGAAUAUUGGACAAUGGGGGGAACCCUGAUCCAGCAAUGCCGCGUGUGUGAAGAAGGCCUUAGGGUUGUAAAGCACUUUCAGUGGAGAGGAAGUUGCGUGUGCUAAUAUCAUACGUAAUUGACGUUACCCACAGAAGAAGCACCGGCUAACUCUGUGCCAGCCGCCGCAGUAA
Molecule: ribosomal RNA, 504 nt
Filed under: uncultured bacterium
Lineage: Bacteria
Description: partial 16S ribosomal RNA
Rfam family: Bacterial small subunit ribosomal RNA
Source: RNAcentral